AUGAGUGGUGAUUGGUUUGUUACGGGUGGUUGGCUCUUUGCUUGUGCAACAACUUCCACCUGGCAUACCUCCUCAGUUAUGCGUCAAGGCUUGUAUUGUCUUGAGUGUAUUGUGGGUUUCUUGUGUUGCAUACCUAAUUGAUGGUAUUGUUUUGGUUGAUCAAAGUCCCUUUUCAUCUUGUGUUGCAUUUGUGACGCAUGAUGAACCUCGAAGUGGUCUCUAUGUUCCAUUAUGUUGAUGUAAAUGCAUUGAUGUUGUGGCCCAUUGAGCUUUGCUUGGUAUCCUGGAUACGGAACAUUAUGUGGGCAUGGGGUCUCUCAUGACUCUUGUUUUGUCCUCGUUCAGUGUUCUUUAAAAUGACGGUUCAUGUGCGCCUAGGCUUGUACCUGCGUGAUGUUCUUUGUCGAAGAGGAAUGC
RNAcentral lists this unclassified non-coding RNA (417 nucleotides) under Synotis lucorum. RNAcentral describes it as "partial external transcribed spacer". Lineage: Eukaryota; Viridiplantae; Streptophyta; Magnoliopsida; Asterales; Asteraceae. The record is from RNAcentral.